Molecule: ribosomal RNA, 471 nt
Filed under: uncultured bacterium
Lineage: Bacteria
Description: bacterial SSU rRNA
Rfam family: Bacterial small subunit ribosomal RNA
Source: RNAcentral
GACGAACGCUGGCGGCGUGCCUAACACAUGCAAGUCGAACGGGACCGCAAGGUUCAGUGGCGGACGGGUGCGUAACACGUGAGGAACAUAGCCAACGGCGGGGGAUAGCCGGCCCAACGGCCGGGUAAUACCGCGUACGACCUUUGGGGGGCAUCCCCUGGGGGUGAAAGCAGCAAUGCGCCGAUGGGGUGCCUCGCGGCCUAUCAGCUAGUUGGUGAGGUAACGGCUCACCAAGGCUACGACGGGAGCUGGUCCGAGAGGAUGACCAGCCACAUUGGGACUGAGACACGGCCCAGACUCCUACGGGAGGCAGCAGUGGGGAAUAUUGCGCAAUGGGCGAAAGCCUGACGCAGCGACGCCGCGUGUGGGAUGAAGGUCUUCGGAUUGUAAACCACUGUCGGGAGGGGACGAAGCUCUGACGGUACCUCCAAAGGAAGCACCGGCUAACUCUGUGCCAGCAGCUGCCGUAAG